UGGGGAAUUUUGGACAAUGGGCGAAAGCCUGAUCCAGCAAUGCCGCGUGUGUGAAGAAGGCCUUCGGGUUGUAAAGCACUUUUGUCCGGAAAGAAAUCCUCUGGGUUAAUACCUCGGGAGGAUGACGGUACCGGAAGAAUAAGCACCGGCUAACUACGUGCCAGCAGCCGCGGUAAUACGUAGGGUGCAAGCGUUAAUCGGAAUUACUGGGCGUAAAGCGUGCGCAGGCGGUUUUGUAAGACAGAUGUGAAGUCCCCCGGGCUUAACCUGGGAACUGCAUUCGUGACUGCAAGGCUAGAGUAUGGCANAGGGGGGUAGAAUUCCACGUGUAGCAGUGAAAUGCGUAGAGAUGUGGAGGAAUACCGAUGGCG
Molecule: ribosomal RNA, 371 nt
Filed under: uncultured bacterium
Lineage: Bacteria
Description: partial 16S ribosomal RNA
Rfam family: Bacterial small subunit ribosomal RNA
Source: RNAcentral